Molecule: ribosomal RNA, 855 nt
Filed under: uncultured bacterium
Lineage: Bacteria
Description: bacterial SSU rRNA
Rfam family: Bacterial small subunit ribosomal RNA
Source: RNAcentral
AGACCGGCGCACGGGUGCGUAACGCGUAUACAUCUACCUUUUACAGAGGGAUAGCCCAGAGAAAUUUGGAUUAAUACCUCAUAGUAUUUUUGAAUCGCAUGAUUUGAUUAUUAAAGUUCCAACGGUAAAAGAUGAGUAUGCGNNNCAUUAGCUAGAUGGUAAGGUAACGGCUUACCAUGGCUACGAUGGGUAGGGGUCCUGAGAGGGAGAUCCCCCACACUGGUACUGAGACACGGACCAGACUCCUACGGGAGGCAGCAGUGAGGAAUAUUGGACAAUGGGCGCAAGCCUGAUCCAGCCAUGCCGCGUGCAGGAAGAAGGUCCUAUGGAUUGUAAACUGCUUUUAUACAGGAAGAAACAACGCUACGUGUAGCGUCUUGACGGUACUGUAUGAAUAAGGACCGGCUAACUCCGUGCCAGCAGCCGCGGUAAUACGGAGGGUCCAAGCGUUAUCCGGAAUCAUUGGGUUUAAAGGGUCCGUAGGCGGCCAAAUAAGUCAGUGGUGAAAGCCCAUCGCUCAACGAUGGAACGGCCAUUGAUACUGUUUGGCUUGAAUUAUUAGGAAGUAACUAGAAUACGUAGUGUAGCGGUGAAAUGCUUAGAGAUUACAUGGAAUACCAAUUGCGAAGGCAGGUUACUACUAAUAUAUUGACGCUGAUGGACGAAAGCGUGGGGAGCGAACAGGAUUAGAUACCCUGGUAGUCCACGCCGUAAACGAUGGAUACUAGCUGUUCGGAGCAAUCUGAGUGGCUAAGCGAAAGUGAUAAGUAUCCCACCUGGGGAGUACGUUCGCAAGAAUGAAACUCAAAGGAAUUGACGGGGGCCCGCACAAGCGGUGGAGCAUGUGGUUUAAUU